RNAcentral lists this ribosomal RNA (390 nucleotides) under Cancer sp. Its description in RNAcentral is "partial large subunit ribosomal RNA". The stretch from base 1 to 187 matches the Rfam family "Archaeal large subunit ribosomal RNA", at positions 1908 to 2143 of the family's 2987-position model. The record is from RNAcentral. Lineage: Eukaryota; Metazoa; Arthropoda; Malacostraca; Decapoda; Cancridae.
GUCUAUUUGGAAUAAUAAAUAGUCUAGCCUGCUCACUGACAAAGAGUUAAAGAGCCGCGGUAUCCUGACCGUGCAAAGGUAGCAUAAUCAUUAGUUUCUUAAUUAGGAACUCGUAUGAAUGGCUGAACAAAAGAAGAGCUGUCUCUAACGUAAAAAUAGAAUUUAACUUUUAAGUGAAAAGGCUUAAAUGAUUCAGGGGGACGAUAAGACCCUAUAAAGCUUUAUAUUAUUAACUAUAAUUUAAUUAAAUUAAUAAGAUUAAAGGUUUUAAUAGGUUAUUAUAUUUUAUUGGGGAGGUAUAAGUAUAAUUUUUGUAACUGCUUAUAAGUUAGUACAGUGAUAGUUGGUUAAAAUUUCAAUGAUCCUUUAAAAUAAAGAUANAAGGCUAAG